Drosophila biarmipes is the source of this 670-nucleotide long non-coding RNA. RefSeq lists it as uncharacterized. The transcript is spliced from 3 exons. The record is from RefSeq and is a predicted model, not a curated record. Lineage: Eukaryota; Metazoa; Arthropoda; Insecta; Diptera; Drosophilidae.
UGGGAGAUUGAGAGGGAGUAAAAGUUUUAGCAAAAUUAGAGAGCGACCUGGAAACUGUCUACGUUAUAUCAGCUGCAGAACUCAGGCUUUCCUUUUCUAUCUUCGCGCAAGCUUUUCAAUAUGAGUCUUUUGCAGACAAAUUUAACACUGGAUGGGAAUGGGCGGUCGACUAGCGCAUUUGGUUCUAAAAUACGGGCUGAGCGCCCUACACAGAUUUGGUUGAUCAAUGCACUUCCCAAGUGCCAUGCUUUAAUUCUCCGAUGCACCCACUUUUUCCAAUGAAAGUCCCAAUUAAAGAUCCACAUAAUGGGGAACCUGCUAUUUGACCGUGUCAGACUCAGUUGAGCCUUUGGAUUAAGCGUCAAUCUGUUCCGACUAGUCCUACAUUCACUACGAGUGCGUGGCAAGGCAGCUCUAAAGAUGUAUGUCGCGGAACUUACAUGUUUUUUAUCAAAAGCGACUCACUGAGAACUGCUGGAGCACCUCAUAUCAUACCAGUAGACAUUUAAACCGCGGGACCCGCUCUAACAACUUGAUUGCGCAGUACAGUAAACAAUGUUUUCGGAAAGACUGGUACCGUCAAAUCUACAUAUUUAUUAUAAUUAAUUAUAAUAAAUUCACAAUUGUCACAGAUGGCGGCUAUUGAAUGUUUUUAACAAAUCCAGUGGGU